AGCAGCCGCGGUAAUUCCAGCUCCAAUAGCGUAUAUUAAAGUUGUUGCAGUUAAAAAGCUCGUAGUUGAAUUUCGGGGUUAGUAGGUUGGUCAUGCCUCUGGUAUGUACUGGUCUCACUGGUUCCUCCUUCCUGAUGAACUGUAAUGCCAUUAAUUUGGUGUUGCAGGGAAACAGGACUGUUACUUUGAAAAAAUUAGAGUGUUUAAAGCAAGCUAACGCUUGAAUACAUUAGCAUGGAAUAAUGAAAUAGGACGUUCGAACCUAUUUUGUUGGUUUCUAGGAUUGACGUAAUGAUUAAUAGGGAUAGUUGGGGGCAUUAGUAUUCAAUUGUCAGAGGUGAAAUUCUUGGAUUUAUUGAAGACUAACUACUGCGAAAGCAUUUGCCAAGGAUGUUUUCAUUAAUCAAGAACGAAAGUUAGGGGAUCGAAGACGAUCAGAUACCGUCGUAGUCUUAACCAUAAACUAUGCCGACUAGGGAUCGGAUGAUGUUAAUUUUUUAAUGUACUCAUUCGGCGCCUU
This 520-nucleotide unclassified non-coding RNA is filed under the name uncultured Glomus. RNAcentral describes it as "SSU rRNA". It matches the Rfam family "Eukaryotic small subunit ribosomal RNA", at positions 569 to 1089 of the family's 1831-position model. Lineage: Eukaryota; Fungi; Glomeromycota; Glomeromycetes; Glomerales; Glomeraceae. The record is from RNAcentral.